Molecule: non-coding RNA, 609 nt
Organism: Paramuricea clavata
Lineage: Eukaryota; Metazoa; Cnidaria; Anthozoa; Malacalcyonacea; Plexauridae
Source: the annotation of a GenBank genome assembly
GGUUUCCUCAAAGCCAAUACCACUCUCAGUUAUGUCAAUUAUACAGGUAAAUGCAUUAGCAACGGCUUGUAUAAUGAUAUGAUCGCACCAAGUGCCAAGUUUUGACAUCAUUCUUAAAUAAUCUAACCACAAAUCAUGAACAUUGAAUUCAAUAUAAUAUUCAGGGUGUGUUGUUAAGUGAUUAACGCGUGCCAAACAAAUUUCUAAAUGGCGAUCUGGCGUGCCAAAUAGCUGGUGAGAAACUGAUUUAAAGAAGCAAUCACCUGAUCCACCUACAUCAUAAGGUUUUAAAUUUUUUCUUGCUAGUCUUUCGCUCAAGCGAAAUAACAAUUCACUUAUAUUUUCGGUAUUUGGUUUAAAAGUGUGCAUAGCUUUGUUACUGUAAUACUAUAAAUACUACAGAUGAGAUUGCAGCAGGGCUUUUAUAUGCAAAUGUUGUUUUAUUAGUGUCCACAAUGGGACAUGCCACAAUUGGUUCUCACUUGUUUUAUUACAGUCCACAAUGGGACAAACCACAAUUGGUCUUUUGCCAAGAUUGGCAAUUGGUCUUUUGCCAAGAUUGGCAAUUUUUACUAAAAAGUUCGCUUCAGCUUCAAACGCACAACUAUG